AUUGAACGCUGGCGGCAUGCCUUACACAUGCAAGUCGAACGGUAACGGGCCUUCGGGUGCCGACGAGUGGCGAACGGGUGAGUAAUACAUCGGAACGUGCCCGAUCGUGGGGGAUAACGAGGCGAAAGCUUUGCUAAUACCGCAUACGAUCUACGGAUGAAAGCAGGGGACCGCAAGGCCUUGCGCGGACGGAGCGGCCGAUGGCAGAUUAGGUAGUUGGUGGGAUAAAAGCUUACCAAGCCGACGAUCUGUAGCUGGUCUGAGAGGAUGAUCAGCCACACUGGGACUGAGACACGGCCCAGACUCCUACGGGAGGCAGCAGUGGGGAAUUUUGGACAAUGGGCGCAAGCCUGAUCCAGCCAUGCCGCGUGCAGGAUGAAGGCCUUCGGGUUGUAAACUGCUUUUGUACGGAACGAAAAGCCUUCUUUUGAUACAGGAGGGUCAUGACGGUACCGUAAGAAUAAGCACCGGCUAACUACGUG
This 482-nucleotide ribosomal RNA is filed under the name uncultured bacterium. RNAcentral's name for it is "partial 16S ribosomal RNA". It matches the Rfam family "Bacterial small subunit ribosomal RNA", at positions 30 to 507 of the family's 1533-position model. The record is from RNAcentral.